AUUGAAACUUAUCCUCCAACCAAUGAGUAUCUGCCAAGAAUCUCUCCCCAUCUUCGAGCCAGUGAAUUUGCUGCACGGUCCCUAACUGGAUUUUCCCCUUUUGCACUCUGCUCAUAAAAGCCACCAGCCCUAAACCGUCAGUGCAUUUGCCUGUACCUCACUGCAGUUCACGUGUCUUGAAUUACACUUCCUCUGCUAUUCCCAAAUAAGCUCAAUUCCUGGUAACUGGAACUCGCCUCAGUUUACCUCCUUUUCAGUUGACAUUACAUGGUGUCAGAAGUGGGAUCCAAAGGAGACAACCACCAAGGAAUGACGGGCAACCCCCGGAAUCAAGCACAGUCUGCACACUUGAGCCCUUUGCAUUCUUGGCCUCCACAGGUUGCUAUAACUUUCAGUUUGGAGAUAAAGACAUUCAGAUGGCAGAUAACAGUUUUUCAGAUGGGGUUUCUUCAGAUUCCUUGGAAGCUGCUAAAAAUGCAAGUAACACAGAAAAGCUCACAGAUCAGGUGAUGCAGAAUCCUCAAGUUUUGGCAGCUCUACAGGAACGACUUGACAAUGUCUCCCACACUCCUUCCAGCUACAUUGAGACUUUACCUAAAGCCGUCAAAAGAAGAAUCAAUGCCUUGAAACAGCUUCAGGUGAAGUGCGCUCAUAUAGAAGCCAAGUUCUAUGAAGAAGUCCACGACCUGGAAAGAAAGUAUGCAGCUCUAUACCAGCCUCUCUUUGACAAGAGAAGGGAAUUCAUCACUGGUGACGUUGAGCCAACAGAUGCGGAAUCAGAAUGGCACAGCGAAAGUGAAGAGGAGGACAAACUGGCGGGAGACAUGAAAAAUAAAGUAGUCGUAGCAGAAAAAGAAGCAGCAACAGCAGAAGAGCCAAACCCCAAAGGAAUUCCGGAGUUCUGGUUUACCAUCUUUAGAAACGUAGAUAUGCUAAGUGAAUUAGUCCAGGAAUAUGACGAACCAAUCUUAAAACAUCUGCAGGAUAUUAAAGUGAAAUUUUCAGACCCUGGACAACCCAUGUCUUUUGUAUUAGAGUUCCACUUUGAACCCAACGACUACUUUACCAAUUCAGUCCUGACAAAAACGUACAAGAUGAAGUCAGAGCCAGAUAAGGCUGAUCCCUUUUCCUUUGAAGGUCCUGAAAUAGUUGACUGUGACGGGUGUACUAUUGACUGGAAGAAAGGGAAAAACGUCACAGUCAAAACAAUCAAGAAGAAGCAGAAGCACAAGGGUCGAGGCACUGUUCGGACAAUCACCAAACAAGUCCCCAAUGAUUCCUUCUUUAACUUCUUCAGUCCGCUGAAAGCAUCUGGGGACGGAGAAUCACUGGAUGAAGAUUCCGAAUUCACGUUAGCCUCCGACUUUGAAAUUGGACACUUCUUCCGUGAGCGGAUAGUCCCGCGGGCUGUGCUCUACUUCACAGGGGAGGCCAUAGAGGAUGACGACAAUGUGUCACCUCCGUGCUUCAGUUUCCUCAUCUGUAAAACAAUUCAUGUGCACAACUCGAGUGACUUGUCAAGCUCUUGGAACAGUGCCUGGCAGAGAAUUAUUCAUUUGAAGAAGGUGAGGAAGGAGAAGAGGAGGAAUUAGAAGGCGACGAGGAGGGAGACGAUGAGGACGAUGCUGAGAUUAACCCCAAGGUGUAAUUUUUGUCUGUUAAUCAUUCAUGCGUUUCUAGAAGGAGCCGAGCCAGCCCUCCGAGUGCAAACAGCAGUGAGGCGCGAGCGCACCUCUGCAGGUGUGGCUGCUGCCUGCGGACGCCCAGCAGGCCUCGGCCUGGCCGCGCAUGGUCGGAUUGACGGCGCUUACAUCUAACUCGUUUUCAAGUGCAUGAUUUUCACUUUCACUUUUCCUUUUUCCUUAUUAUUUUGCUUAACCUAUACAGUGGCAACUUAAAUGCAUUUCAGAAAUAGGAGGGUUAAUCCCAGCACCCUCUACGGCCUUGGGUGCAGCUCAGUGGACUUUCCCAGGUCCUGCCUUGGAGCGAGGGGGCCCGCAGACCACAUGGGGGGUAGGGGGUGGAAGGUCGCUCGACACCAAGGACAGAUGUCUGGGCUGUGGUUCCAGGGCACCUAGAACCCAUGACACCGCUCCCGCAUCGGACUGGAUUCUUGUUUCACUUGAGGAAGCUCUCACGCUUUGUUUCCAGCGGCUUGGUCUCCUGCAGUCUCCUCGCCUCCCAGGGCUUGGUGGAGUAGGCUCCUGUGCUCCUGACAGUGUUCUUUGGUUUUAUUGUCCUCGGGGUGGGGGGUGCUCACUGCCCCUGCGGUGCGAGCUUUGUGGUUCAUCCUGUAUUUAUUUAUUCUUUCAUGCUUAUGAGGGCUUGGGAUGCCUGCUGUUGCUCGUUCUUAGAGUUUCGGAAACCAUGUUUGUGACUAGAGACCCAGUGACUUGACCAGGAAGAGGGGGUGGCGGCUCCUACUGGAGCAAGGCCUGUGUAGAAGAAACCGUGCUACGUUCUCCUGCCAGCUGCCGAGGCGAGAGCUUGUUUUCGUGACAUACAGACCGCUUUUGGCUCUGAGGAUUGGGGGUGGGCAGAGCACCAGGAUGCCCAGUCUGCUGUGCUGGGAGCUCGGCGCGCAAGUAGGACCUUCCCAUUAGUGUUCAUGUCGAGUCUUCCUUUCUUGAUCACUCCCAUUUCUUGACCCCACGUUCAUCUUGUCUUAAAAGCCCUGGGUUUGGAGCGACCUGUUCUUGGCUGGGUUUCCAAGUGUGUGACCGUGGUCUCUGGCAGCUGGGGGAUGCCGUGUCCACACUGUGAUCAGGCCUGUAGAGUGCUCAGCCUUACUUAUGAUACAUUUGUAACUGAAUAUGGUGUUUUCAAUUUGUACAGAAUAGUUAGAAUAUUCUAUUAAAGUUGUGAAACAUGAA
This is an RNA transcript of Equus quagga, 2873 nucleotides long. It is a transcript of the gene named nucleosome assembly protein 1 like 4, with no coding region annotated. The record is from RefSeq and is a predicted model, not a curated record. Lineage: Eukaryota; Metazoa; Chordata; Mammalia; Perissodactyla; Equidae. The transcript has 17 exons.